RNAcentral lists this transfer RNA (92 nucleotides) under Methyloprofundus sp. RNAcentral's name for it is "tRNA-Tyr". It matches the Rfam family "tRNA". Rfam says of the family: Transfer RNA (tRNA) molecules are approximately 80 nucleotides in length. Their secondary structure includes four short double-helical elements and three loops (D, anti-codon, and T loops). The record is from RNAcentral. Lineage: Bacteria; Pseudomonadati; Pseudomonadota; Gammaproteobacteria; Methylococcales; Methylococcaceae.
GGAAGUGCGGCAGAGAUGGUGGUUCUGCACAAGACUGUAAAUCUUGUCCCUCAGGGUAAACAUUGUAGGUUCGAAUCCUACCGCUUCCACCA